GUUGACCUCGGAUCAGGUAGGGAUACCCGCUGAACUUAAGCAUAUCAAUAAGCCGGAGG
This 59-nucleotide ribosomal RNA is filed under the name Aspergillus penicillioides. RNAcentral describes it as "partial 28S ribosomal RNA". Lineage: Eukaryota; Fungi; Ascomycota; Eurotiomycetes; Eurotiales; Aspergillaceae. The record is from RNAcentral.